Molecule: ribosomal RNA, 527 nt
Filed under: Anastrepha similis
Lineage: Eukaryota; Metazoa; Arthropoda; Insecta; Diptera; Tephritidae
Description: partial small subunit ribosomal RNA
Rfam family: Bacterial large subunit ribosomal RNA (bases 395-527)
Source: RNAcentral
AAACAUGUCUUUUUGAGUUGUAUUUAAAGUCUAACCUGCCCACUGAGUAAUUUUAAAUGGCCGCAGUAUUUUGACUGUGCAAAGGUAGCAUAAUCAUUAGUCUUUUAAUUGAAGGCUGGUAUGAACGGUUGGACGAAGUAUAAGCUGUUUCAUAUAAAUUUAUUAUAGAAUUUUAUAUUUUAGUUAAAAAGCUAAAAUUUUAUUAAAAGACGAGAAGACCCUAUAAAUCUUUAUAUUUAUUAUUAUUUAAAUUUUUUGGAUUUAUUUUGUUUUUAUAAUUUUAAAUAUUUUGUUGGGGUGAUGUUAAAAUUUAAUGAACUUUUAAUUAUUUAAAAUCAUUAAUAUAUGAAUUAUUGAUCCAUUAAUAAUGAUUAUAAGAUUAAGUUACUUUAGGGAUAACAGCGUAAUUUUUUUUGAGAGUUCAUAUCGACAAAAAAGUUUGCGACCUCGAUGUUGGAUUAAGGUAUAAUUUUGGGUGUAGCUGUUCAAAUAUUAAGUCUGUUCGACUUUUAAAUCCUUACAUGAUC